This 253-nucleotide ribosomal RNA is filed under the name uncultured bacterium. Its description in RNAcentral is "partial 16S ribosomal RNA". It matches the Rfam family "Bacterial small subunit ribosomal RNA", at positions 524 to 776 of the family's 1533-position model. The record is from RNAcentral.
GACAGAGGUCCCGAGCGUUAUGCGGAAUCACUGGGCUUAAAGCGUGUGUAGGCGGCGGCCUAAGUACCUUGUGAAAUCCCACGGCUCACCCGUGGAACUGCUCGGUAUACUGGGUCGCUUGAGCCACUUAGGGGCUACCGGAACAAAUGGUGGAGCGGUGAAAUGCGUAGAUAUCAUUUGGAACGCCAAUGGUGAAAACAGGUAGCUGGGAGUGUGCUGACGCUGAGACACGAAAGCCAGGGGAGCAAACGGG